Mizuhopecten yessoensis (Yesso scallop) is the source of this 4532-nucleotide long non-coding RNA. RefSeq lists it as uncharacterized. The record is from RefSeq and is a predicted model, not a curated record. The transcript is spliced from 2 exons. NCBI's taxonomy places the organism in Eukaryota, Metazoa, Mollusca, Bivalvia, Pectinida, Pectinidae.
CUUGCAGUAUAAGAGUAAGAGCAAACACAUUGAAUGAGAGAAUGUUGUUGGUAUUAGUGAUAAAUGAUAAAAGUUCCAUGAAUUUAUUUAUGUGAGUUCCCUGAAUAAAAAUUGAAGGAAUUUUCCAAAUAUAGUAGAUUCCUAAAUAUAGCUGUAGGAGAUUCCUAAAUAUUGCUGUAGGAGAUUCCCUAAAUAAAUAGCUGUAGGUGAUUACCUAAAUAUAGCUGUAGGAGAUUCCUAAAUAUAGCUGUAGGAGAUUCCUAAAUAUAGCUGUAGGAGAUUCCUAAAUAUAGCUGUAGGAGAUUCCCUAAAUAUAGCUGUAGGAGAUUCCCUUCGGGGAAGUUCCCUGAUUACAGCAACGAGGAGUCCCCAUAAUAUAAGCUCUGGGGAAUUCCAUUAGGAAGUCCAUAAAAAUGACUCGAGAGUUGCCUGAAUAUAGCUCUGGGGAGUCCUCUGAAUACAGCUCUGGGGAGUUCUCUGAAUAUAGCUCUGGGGAGUUCUCUGAAUAUAGAUCUGGGGAGUUCUCUGAAUAUAGCUCUGAAGAAAUUCGUAAAUAUGGCUCUUAGAUGUUCUCUGAAAGGUUUAGGGAGUUCUCUGACAAUGUAGCUCUUGGCACAUGGUUUACAGCUUUUGGAAUUUGCUUUAAUAUAGCUUUAGGGAGUUGUCUGAAUACAACACAAGGGAACUCUUAAUAUUAUAGCUCAAAGAAUGUCUGAAUCACAUUUAUGCAAUUAUAUUAAGAAAAUGUUUAGAGAUAACUCUGUUCAAACCUGUAUAUUGAUAUUAAAUAUACAUGCUAAUACAAACAAGCAAUAUUUUCACCAAAGGAUGGAGAUGAACUGUAUCUAUGCAAUUAUAUUAAGAGUGAUUGUAGAUCUGACUGAGUUUGGCUGUGACAUCAAACCCACAUAUUUCCUAUGAAAUGUAAAUACAUUUAUACGUCCUUUAUGCCAUAUACUGAUGUAUAGUAGGAUAUUAUCCCAAUUUGGUGGGUCAGAAGCAUGUUUGCAUAAAGACAAGUGUAAAAAUGAGCUGCAAUAAUUAACUUCAUAACGAUAAUGUUGUCAUAAAGAAGCGUGCACGUGGUUAUAUAUGACGAGUCAUAUAGAUAAAUAGUAAUGAUGUGUGAAAAUAGAUUAUAUCACACAUUUAAUAGAUUUGGUGAUGAUUUAUUUAACAAAAUACACUUAAAUGUACUUUUUGUUGCUCACUAAAUUGUAUGCUAUCAUAAAGCCUAAUCAUUCGAUUAUUUGAUACUUUACAUGCCGAGUGUCCCGUCUCUGUGCUAAAACGAUGCUAAAUUUAGUUCCUUCAAAUGUCUAGAUAGCAAAAUUAUAAUCUAUGUAAAUUUAAUUUUCUAAUUUUGGGUCAGUAUCGCGAACAUUGUAUGUCCCGGUAAAUAACCUGCUAUACGGUACUGAAUUUAGACAUCCAUCAGAAUUUUGCAUUAUUAUCACCUGUAUAUCAGUAUGUCAUGAAUAGUGUAAGGAUGAACAGCAUUUUUUUCAUGAUAACUACUAUCAGUAACAUAAGAGGAUGAGUAAGCUGGACCAUAGUGCGAGGUUGGACCAUAGGGAAAGUUUUGAAGAGUGUUGAGAAUGGAUAUUUUCAUUUGUUCAGAUUUCUGAAGUGCUGAAGGGUUUAUUAUUUGAUCUCUCAAUGCUUGUAGUUCUAGUUCUGUAAAUUUAGUGAGUGUUUUACUGUUUAUUUUAUUGACUGUUCCUAAAGAUAUUAACAAGGUUUUGCUGUUAAGUAAUAUAGUUACAUGUCUCAACAUUGUGUUGUUCUGAAGUUGUUGUAAAUGAUUGCCAGAGUGAUAACUGGAUAAGUAUGCAAAGCAUUCAAGUCUGUAUUAUAUAAAUGAAAUAAUCUUGUUAAUUAGUUCAUUAUUAUGAUCAGUACUUGGUACUAGAGGGGGUGACCUGAUACGUUUGUGGUGUUACAUUUCUGUCAGGUUUGUGGUGACCACUGCCUGAUACGUUUGUGGUGUUACAUUUCUGUCAGUUUUGUGAGGUUGUGACUGUUAGCCUAUCAGUAUGUUACACUGUAUGUAGUGUGAGAUCUUUAACAAUGAGUAGGGCGUUUCUUGCCAUGGACAGUGCUCACAUCUCAACCUCUUCUUACAUCUCCUCUGGCUGAUGUCCAACCAACAUUAAAACUAUCAAAUGAAAAAGCAUCUCGCAGAAAUUGAAUACACAAGUCUUUUCAUGGAAGUCACAAGUCCUGCCUACAUUGUACUUGGGCUUGACAUCAGUAAGGGCACACUGUAGUGUACUUUCUCUGUUAGAGUGUGAUGUAUUUCUGUUAGUGUGUAAUGUAUUUCUGUUAGAGUGUAAUGUAUUUCUGUUAGUGUGUAAUGUAUUUCUGUCAGAUUAUAUUGUAUUUCUGUUGGAGUAUAUUGUAUUUCUGUCAGAGUAUAUUGUAUUUCUGUAGUGUAGUUUAUCUCAUUGAUAAGAGGUAAUUUAGAAAGCUUCAAAUAUGUUGCAAAUCAACAAAUAAAAUAAAAUAAAUCAAUGUCCUGUAGUUCUAAGUAAACGUUCUAACUAGAAAGGUCAGAUGUUGCUAGCCACCUAGCUACAGGCGUUUGAGGUUGUGGUCACUUAUAGGUGUUAAAUGCUGUGUCAGUUCAGAACUGUAGGGGUUCAUAGCCCCUGUAUUUAUGGGAAGUAAAGUGUGUUGGCAUGAUAAAUGGACAAGAAUUUUCAAACUCCACUUCUCCAAGAAAAGUGGGUCGGCCUACAACCAGGCUGUUACCCUCUGCAUGGGCAGUGAGGAAAGUAGGAUGGGCUUAUUACCUGACAUAGGCUUAGUACUGUUAAAACAUGGUAUGUGUAUAGACAAUAUCAGAUACUCGGUAUCGUUGUCUGUCCUAGCUACAUUAGGUUCAUAAUGUCAUUAAUUGCCAUAGCUUAUUUGUCUUGCUAUCAUUUUGCUUGUGAACUCCCUCAGAGGUGUCCUCAUUAUUAAUUAGAUGGUCAUGAACAGUCGUAUCUGUUUCACUAUGUAAUAUUUAUCGACAACAUUAGAUACCAUUUAUAUGGUCAUUAUCUGUAACAUGGUCUGAGUGUGAGAGACAUGAAUGAUACGGGGUAAAAUGAAAGUAUUAUUAUAAUGCAUUGACUGUUGUCCAUGUGUAUUUUAGGUAAAACCUCAUGUUUGAAAAAUCAUAAUUAAAUGAAAUUAUGUAUGUUGACAAAGUAUGACAAAAGUUCUGUCUGUGUAAUGGUAUGAUCAAUAUCAUAUUGUGAAUUUGUUAUCAAAUGUGGUGAAUUGUAUGUAAAUCAUGUAUUUUGAAGAAUCUGAAAGCCUUACCUUUGUUUUUUUGAAUAUGGAAGAUUUUUGAAUAUCGAAGAUAUCUCCAUAAGUGUUUGAAUAAUUUAUAUUCAAACAUUUUUACCAGAAUAAUGAAAAAAUAAAAAAAAUGUACUUGGUGAGCCCAUUAAAAGUAGCUGUCUAGAAGCAAAUUUUGUUUGUUUAACAGAUUUUGCACAUUAGAAAUUUCAUUCAGGUCCUUUGUUUAACUAAAAGCUUACAUAUGGUAGUUAAAGCAAGUAUUUGCUGCUAACAUUAAAAUUCAGGUAAAUCAUAAUUUUUAAACUCCUGUCCUGAAUCCAGGCAUAGAUUGAACAUAGCUUUGGUACAGCUUGCAACACAAGGAGAUAUAAUUUUUAGGUACAUUAAAAUGCAUUACGAUUGCCUUGCUAAUGAGUACUUCAUAACAAAGAAAACGUAAUAAUGUUGCUUUAGUUAACAGUACUUAAUGAGACUACUAAAAGAAACUAUCAUGAAGGCCAAAGUGCAUUUAUUAUACUGCUUAAAAAUCAGUAGAACAUGAAGGCCAAAUGUACUAGGUGUUGGGAUCUGAACCUUAUUAGAUUUGGGAUAAAGUCUAAAUGUUAGGUAUGUGUGGUGAAGGCUUCAGGGUUAAAGUUGCACUAUUUAGUAGGCUAUUUAGUAGGUUUUAUCCACAUCAGUGUUAAAGUUGCACUAUUUGGUAGGCUAUUUAGUAGGUUUUAUCCACAUCACAGUGUUAAAGUUGCUCUAUUUAGUAGGUUUUAUCCACAUCACAGGGUUAAAGUGGCACUAUUUAGUAGGCUAUUUAGUAGGUUUUAUCCACAUCACAGGGUUAAAGUUGCACUAUUUAGUUGGCUAUUUAGUAGGUUUUAUCCACAUCGUAGAGUUAAAGUUGCACUAUUUAGUAGGCUAUUUAGUGGGUUUUAUCCACAUCACAGGGUUAAAGUUGCACUAGUUAGUUGGCUAUUUAGUAGGUUUUAUCCACAUCGUAGAGUUAAAGUUGCACUAUUUAGUAGGCUAUUUAGUAGGGUUUAUCCACAUCACAGGGUUAAAGUUGCACUAUUUAGUAGGCUAUUUAGUAGGUUUUAUCCACAUCACAGAAUCUCUAUGUCAUUGUCUCUCAAUGUUGUCUGUGCUUUGUAUAUUUGAUUUGCAUGACUGUUGUUUUGUUGUUUGUUUUAAUCUGUUUUAUUUAUGUUGAUUUUUAAUGUUACUGUCGAAUAAAUGGUUUCAAGAUU